This 26-nucleotide unclassified non-coding RNA is filed under the name Mus musculus (house mouse). RNAcentral describes it as "oocyte_clustered_small_RNA10297". Lineage: Eukaryota; Metazoa; Chordata; Mammalia; Rodentia; Muridae. The record is from RNAcentral.
UACAGUGGACUGUGGCAACCAGAUCG